AAUAACAUUUCACCCAAUUUUAUUUUUGUCAAAAUCCACUCUCCUCUAUCGAUACUCCCUAUCUUUCUUCUACGCAGAUCUAGGGUUCCAAUUUGUAUAUCGCCUCUCCCCUUUUGCGUCUAGCUGAAGCCUACCAUCGCCGCCACUGGUACUGGUACAGUGGUACUACACUUGCAUUCAGUUGUCUUCAUUUCACUAUGGAACUCGUCGCUGUCAGGUUGCUUUGUUGAAAGAUGAUCAUGGCCUGGACCAGUGGGAGCUCGUCUGAAGAUGAAGGAGUGCAAUUCUCAAAUCUCGAGCAUUCUCAACGAGCAGCAGCAACUUCAGAAUAAGAUUAGUGAGACCGAUCUCGAGAAGGGAAUGGAAAAUGAGGUGCUAGCAAACCAUGCAAGGAUGUGUAGGCGAGUCCCUUGAUGACUCUGAUCCAGGAAUGUGAAGGGCAAAAAUGUAACUUAGGCUUGCUGAAUCUGACAAAUACUUCGCUACCUAGAAAAGGAUUUUCUCCUACAUUCUACCAAGUGUUUGCUUCUCAGGGAGUAUAUUAGUUGUGGGCAAAUUGCAAUUUGGUUUUCCACAUUCAAAUUUUAAUUUUCUAGUUUAAUAGGAAUUGAUUAGUACUUAAUAAUGUUUUAGCUGAACCUUGUAACUCUCUAGCCUUGCAUUAGUUAGGCUUUUUUUUAUUUCAACUUUAUUGGUCGUGUAGAUGUAUUCAAUUUGACUAUAUAAUUGUGAUAUGCAUUUUCAUUGUAAAAUAUUACUA
Long non-coding RNA from Lycium barbarum (goji berry), 760 nucleotides. RefSeq lists it as uncharacterized. The transcript has 3 exons. The record is from RefSeq and is a predicted model, not a curated record. NCBI's taxonomy places the organism in Eukaryota, Viridiplantae, Streptophyta, Magnoliopsida, Solanales, Solanaceae.